AUUUUUGGAGAGGAAAAGGUAGGCCUAUAGGGGAGGUAGGAGGGAAAAAAAGUGUAGUAUCUGUUCUUACCAGCUUAAUAUCUGAUACGUCCUGCAUUGCACGACCAGAAUAUUAAACUCAUUUUUGGCUUAUGACGGAGCUCCACCUCUGUCGCGGGUUGGCUCGGCAUUGCAGUACCGUCGGGAUCGGCCCACCUAAU
This 200-nucleotide small nuclear RNA is filed under the name Schistocerca americana (American grasshopper). RNAcentral describes it as "U2 spliceosomal RNA". It matches the Rfam family "U2 spliceosomal RNA". From Rfam's summary of the family: U2 is a small nuclear RNA (snRNA) component of the spliceosome (involved in pre-mRNA splicing). Complementary binding between U2 snRNA (in an area lying towards the 5' end but 3' to hairpin I) and the branchpoint sequence (BPS) of the intron results the bulging out of an unpaired adenosine, on the BPS, which initiates a nucleophilic attack at the intronic 5' splice site, thus starting the first of two transesterification reactions that mediate splicing. Lineage: Eukaryota; Metazoa; Arthropoda; Insecta; Orthoptera; Acrididae. The record is from RNAcentral.